Molecule: long non-coding RNA, 211 nt
Filed under: Lathyrus oleraceus (garden pea)
Lineage: Eukaryota; Viridiplantae; Streptophyta; Magnoliopsida; Fabales; Fabaceae
Description: Pisum sativum (pea) long non-coding RNA (PSAT_LNC005774)
Source: RNAcentral
AAAAUUGCUUUAAACAAAAGUGAACAUUCACAAAGAUUGGAAAGGAUAAUUGGGACGUCUUCAGUGCUCUCCCAAAGUUACCAUGAUCUCCAAAAGGGUAAGACAUUUGUUCAUAUUCCUAGCAUAUUUUUUAUCCUCUUCAUCAUCUCAGGUUGUCUCCUCCGCGAGCACAGAAGAAGAUUAUGCAUCACCAAAUUCCCCAAGGAAUCUG